CGUUUACGCAGCGCAUCCUGGGGGGCGGGGUCAGCAACCUCCACUGGGGAAGCCCGGACAGCGUCCUUUCUGCCCAGGGCUCCUGAGCUGCUGGCUGUGGCAUGCGAAGUGGCCUUGCAUCUCUCGGGCACCCAGUGCUGCUUGGAGGACAAGGACAGGACGCAGAGGACAGAGCCCUGCCCCCCCCCCCCCCCCCCCCCGCUUCGCUUCCAGGGAAUGUGCUGAUUUGAAAUCCAGUCGCCUGGCUAAGGGAACCUCUGCUCCCUGGCCGGUCUCUGCAGCCUGUUGGCAUUGUUUGCACUGUCAGAGGCGGGUGUCGUCAGCACUCGGGCCCGUGGGACUGGCCCAGAAGGUCUGGCAGGGAGGAUCCAGCCUGGCCCAAGGGGCCCCAACUGUGCUGCUCCCCAAGGAGCCUGGGAUGGCAAUGCAGGUAGGCCUGGCGUGUGUGGCGGGGGGAGCCGACCUCAGGGCCGUCGUCCUGGGCCGGCCGCACUGGCACCCUCCCCCAGGCCCCUGUGGCCUUUGCAGCAAGGAGCCUUCCCCUCGGCCAGAAACAUGCCUGCUCUCGAGGCCUGGGGACUAAGGGAAGGCUCCCUGAUCUCAUGGGUGGGAUGCCCAGCUGCUGUGCCUGGAGGGGCCUGGACCUAUAUAUUCCUCCUGACUUGGGGUCCCAUGGCUCACACAUGCGAAAGCGGGGGCCCCGGGGCAUGUGCUCGGGAAUGGAGGUGACAAGCUGGGGAGGGGUCUUAGCUCUGCCCAGGUCUGCAGGGAGCAGAGCCCACCCCCCAUGUCCAGGGGCCAACAAGAGCAUGAACUUGGCCUCCUCUCCCCUAUCUUGAUGGGUGGGACCGGUUUUUGAGGAUCAAGCCCCAAUUUCCAACCUCAGGAGGUGUUCCUCCCUCCCUGGGAGGCCCCUGGGCCUGCUCAGUGGGGCUUUGUGGGCAGCGG
This 948-nucleotide long non-coding RNA is filed under the name Felis catus (domestic cat). RNAcentral describes it as "lncRNA (ENSFCAG00000045398.2)". Lineage: Eukaryota; Metazoa; Chordata; Mammalia; Carnivora; Felidae. The record is from RNAcentral.